UGAAAUGUUUAAAAUAUUAGCAUCCUACUUGCACAUCUACAACAUAAAAAUAGUUCAAUUUUAACUAUAUUUAAAAUUACUGUGGUGACGACCAGAUAAAGGGGCAUGUAUACAGCAGCCUGUACUUCUGAGCAUAUGUGCAAGCACACAUCUUGUCUGUAAAGAUGUGUGAAUUUUCUGUGGGCACUGUAGGAUGUGUAGAAUUCAAGUGGUGGUAGUCACAGUGCUUGGUUUAAAAUCCUGGUAAUCCAUGAGUGCAGUGCUGUGUGACUACAUUAACACUUCACAAUAAAGGAUGGCAAGUAGGCAGAUUUGCAUGCAAAUUAAAUUUUCAACAAUAUUUCUGCAUGCAACUUCCAUUACAGUUGGGCAACUUUGCACAAUUGAAACUGAUGACUAAGAAAAGCAUUUAUAAUUUAGAAAAUUACAACAGCAGUGGCUGUAAUCACCCAGGUUAGCUGCUAAAGUGCCUCUAGGGGGUUGAUUAGAAGGAGAACCUUUAAGAAGCUCACGAGGGAGAAUCAAGCUCUGGGGAUUGAAACGGUGCAAGAGGAGCUGUUACAGUGAGGACUGCUUGCAAAAAAUGGAGAAUGAACUGAUGUAAUACAGGUGACUUCUAAUCAGUGGGAAGAAUUUUGAUCACUCAAACAUAAUUAAGAGCUGUUAACAGUAUGAUAUAGAUAUCAGAAUCAAGGCCCUGUUUUGUUGAAACUGUCUUUGCAAGACUUCAUUAAAUGACAAAAAAGAGGUGACUGGUGACAUGAAGAAUGCAAAGAAGAGGAAAUGAUGUAGUGUGUGCGUAGUCCCCAGAAGUACAAGAACGUUCAUUAUCCCCAUGUGAAGCUCUGAACAUGUCUCCACAUCACUUCAACAUAUGUAAAAGAUUUGGUUUGUAUUUACAUCAUCGCAGUUGGCUUUGUGGAAGAUCCAUGUGGAAAUGGAGCAUACAGAGAUGAAUAAUAGUGUUUCAUAACUCAGAAUACACUGUUCUCUCCUGACACCUGUGUCAGCCUAGGAAUGUGCAAGUGAAACACCUCAUUCUUUUUUAUUAGAUGUAACUUUGGUGCUCAGUCCUCUACCCUUAUUUUUAGAGAACUUACAAGUGUUCUUUCAUUUUGAAGGUGAUUUCUGUUGUCUUACGAAAAGUUAAUAAGGGUAUUAUUUGGUGAUAUAAGUUCAUCUCUUGUUCCAAAACAGAUCCUUAUAACGUGUUAAAAAUAUUUAUCAUAUUGCUUUCUAUCAAUUUACUUUAAAUUUAGGAUUGGUUCAUUAGCAGACUGUUGAAGAUCAUUACAAUCAUGACUGGAAGUGUUGGCAAGGUAUGUGGCUGUGUUGCUCCAAGGCCUGUGAGGGUGUCUGUCUUCCUGUUAGUUUGCACCAAUGAAGAGGGAGGUGCUGAUCCGGAGCAUACCGCUGAGUUACGAGGAAGCAACUGAGUGAACUGGGCCUCUUUGCAUAAAGUUCAAGAGUUGGAAGUAGGUGGAAAGAUCUUCAAACAGUGUUGAAGCUGUAAUUUGGUGUCAGGAGAAGGGGGGGG
Molecule: non-coding RNA, 1537 nt
Organism: Meleagris gallopavo (turkey)
Lineage: Eukaryota; Metazoa; Chordata; Aves; Galliformes; Phasianidae
Source: RefSeq, a predicted model, not a curated record